AAUUAUGCAUGUGUAGUUUGUUGAAGUUCAUAGUUUUAAGGUUGAGGACGGAUAUUUUUUUUCUCUCCUGAAAUUAGGAAAAUACAUUUUCUAAAAUUAUAUUCAAGACUUGGAGUUUCUUAAAAAAAAAAAAAAUGAAAUAAUUUUUCAAUAAAAUUUAAUAUUAUUUGAAAAAACACAUCUAUUGAUACACGUACCUAAUUAGAAGAUGGUCUGCAAGUUCAUCGCGAAGUCGAUAUUUUCACUCCUUCGUUCCAAUAAUACCAACACGAUGGAUACCUACCAUUUGUUAGAAAUGGUCUGGUGGAAAAUUAAGUCUUGGUUUUUCAACGUGUAGGAUGUCAUAGAAAUUUGAUUUAUUACGAAAAUCUGCGCAUUUACACUCUCUAGGGUGCCCGAGCAAACACCACCACCGACAUUUUUCCAUUUUACAAAAUAAGCAACAUGUGAAAUAUAUUACCUGUUAAUACAAAAACCAAAGCCACUUGAAAGUUGGCUCUUCUUUAUCAAAAUACAUAAAUAUUUUCUCGCGUACCGAACGCGACGAUCCCAGACCCCGAGUUACUUAUUCGGAACCCCCUCCAAUGACCUGCUGAUACAUCGGUUUAAAAUAAUUACAAAACUUGUGGAUUCUUUCUCACACGAUGAACUUAUAUAUGACCCUUGCGAAUCCUUUAAAAUGAUUAAAAAAAAGUCAAUUUUCCUCCAUCGAAUACCCACUCGUAUAUUUAUUCUUUUAAAUGCGACCUCGAUCGGGUAAUGAAUUCGUGCGAAUUAAAAUUUUUAUCGUUUUUUUAAUCAAAGAAAAGGCCGGAUUUGGUACCUUUUGUAAUCGGCAUUAACGCGAAUAAUGACCUCGGGAUUAGUUUUAUUUUCUUUAAUGGAUUUUUCUCGCCUUUGAAAAUAACGUCGUAUUUAGAAAAGUAAUUUUUGUUAAAUCUCGGUGUCACGUCUUCCGAUGACAUUGAAGUAUUCGUUUGAUUGGCAAUUUCGUAUCCGUUGGUUUUUUUUUCCUUCUAAAAGCCUAAUACAACGUGGACUUUUCGGCUUUUACUUCAUUUUGUAUUUACGUGAUAACCAAUUUUCUACUUAAUAUUCCGGCCCAAAAAGUCCCCUCUGUUUUGAACGCGGUGGAAAAAAAAUUAAAAAUUAAUUCCAACCUGGAAACUUCGGUCGAAUGUAAAGCCUUGCGUUGGUUUAACCUGUCGUAGAAUAAGUAGGUAACCUACUAGGAAAUUAACUUUUCCCCUUCGGGUCUGCUUUUUGUUACAUGCAACUUGCUAUUAAACAACAGUUCGGCAAGUUGGCGAAAAUUUUUAACAAGCUCCUAUUAACACCUUGUUAAAGUUAGUUGAAAUGACGGAAAUUAUCUUUUUUUGCCUUUUUAUUUCCGCAGCUGGAUUAAUUUCUGAAUCUUCGCCCCAAAAAAAAAAAGAGUUCCCAUUCUAUUAAACUUUGUUAAUUUUGUCCUCUUUGAAGUUGCAUAUUUUAUGAGAUAAAGUGAGUUCUGGAGAAAAAACGUCGAGAUGAGGAAAAACAGUUGGUAUUAGCCUGAAAAAUACUCGUUUUGGUUAUUUUCCCAUGGGAUGGUUCUAACGCGCGAAUUCAAAGGAUGUGUCGAUAAGAGUGAGAGGUAUUUUUCUAACUUGAAAUUAAAUUAUUUGUUUGAUCUUGCGCUUUUCACAAAGUUACUUACUGAAUUCUGGUUACGAAAUUCGAAAUGAAAUUCUCUUACUGAAAUGGGAGGCAGAUUACUCACGAACUGUUCGCUUGUCAUUAAAAAAGAAAAUAGGCAGGAGGUACUUACAUAUGUGUGCAAAUAAUCACAUUUCAGCGAAGUUAUCCAAUCUUAUUUAACAUCCAUGAAUUUGAAUCAACCCCAGGUAUUUACUUGGGUCUGAAAACAUCUACUGAUUGAAAACUGUGUCUGAAUCAACCCCAGGUCCUUACUUGGGUCUAAAACAGGGAUCCGAACAGGAAAAAAAUGUUGGUUAAAGGUUAAGGUUCCCGACAGUUACUGAGAAACAAGUGAUGGAUUCUGGGUAAGUAACGGUUACAGGUCAAGUGCCCAAAAUUAAAAAUUUGGGUUUCUGGUUAUGGGUUCCAAAAAAAUUACCUCAAGUUUUUUCUAUCAAAGAUUAAGGUUAAGGUAAUUUUUAAAAAAAUUGUUUUGAAUAAAAUUUUCAAAUGCGUGUACAUAUAUACACUGCUUAUUGGUAUUCUUUAUUCAACUGUGUAACAAUUACAAACCUGCGGAUGGACCAUUUUGAAGCCGUUUCUAUGAAAUUUCAAAAAAUACUGCCCAUUUUUUCAAAAAUGAAUGGGACUCUUCAAAUCCAGACAAACUUUAAAAUAUGAAUAAAAAUGAAAAAUUCGUUAAAUUUUUUCAAGUUUAGCACAACAAGUGAUAAAAAAAAUCAAUUUUAUUGAAAAAAUUGGAAAAAAAAUGAAAAAUUGAACUAGGUACUGAUAAAAUAAUAUUGUGUCGUAGGUACCUACUAAAUAUACGUUCGUAUAUUCGAUACCUACUGACUAAUUACCUACUCGAAUAAGCAGGUAAUCGGAUACGGAGAAUGCACUGGUGUAAUCGUAAUAAAGCUAAUUACUUACCUCGGCUAGGGCUUUUAGUACACUACCGAACACAAUACAAUAUCAUACGCAAAGUUCGUGUAAACGAAUGUAUUAUGGUCAAAAAUGACACAAUAUACUUAAACCGACUCGGAGAAAUAGGGAAAACAAUACAAUAUUUAUCAGAGGGGGAAAAUUACGUUAACACUACUGAAUUAUUACUAAAUUAUAAAAUAUACAAGAACACUUUAAACCUAGGGCCGGAGCUCUAAAGAAUUAAGGACAUAUUAUCUUGGCAACUCGCUUGCUUCACGAAAACGAACUACGAGUUGGUCCAGUUGCCAAAGAAGCUGGACGGCUCAUUUGACACCUUGACCACUCAUUGUUACCAACCACAUCACCGAACGGUGCUGGAAGGGUUAAAUUACCUGUUUUACACAUACGUGUUACCAUUAAGGCAUAUCCGUCUAACAUAUGCCCUCCGAGGUUUACUCAGCUAUGACUCAGCGAGCUAAGUUCCCAGCAGAGGAAAUCACGGUGUGAGACAUAGACAUGACUUAAUGAUAACACUGUCCGUACGGACCCUGCUGCCCCCCAUGAGUUUCUCGGAUGAGAAAUUGGUGAGCAGAGAAGAAAGAAGAAAAUUCUCAAAUUUGGAACCACAGCGCACCCUAGGUAUUGAAGCAGGCGCGUACGUGACCCACUGAGCCACCAGAGAUCGAUCACUCGAAAUACAAUGUACUCAACAAAUACACGUAACUACCUAGCUCUAGCCUAGGAUACACGACAUCGAAAAAGUUGCCAUUUAGCAAUAAUACAAUCCUUUUUUGUUUCAGAUAUCCGUCCAAAAAGGUGAGAAUAUGGAUCGAUUGAAGAUAAGCCGCCUGAGCUCUGAACGAUGAAGAAAAGAAGAGCUACGUACGUAGCUGCGCGUUCGAUGUCCAAGUCAACAUGUCCAAAACAGGUUUAUGGGUCAUUAGCGCCUCCGAGCCGGUUCUAUUUAUCGUCGUAAAUAUUCUUAGUAAAUAAGUGCAAGUUGUAGAAAGAAAAGUGUGCAAAUUUAAGAAUACGUUUGUACUUUUAUUUGUAUUUGAGUUACAACAUGCAUUAUAGGAUAUUGAUUAUUGUUUAUUGAGAAAAAAUAAAAAUAAAUAUCAAUACUAUUUCGUUAA
Molecule: long non-coding RNA, 3740 nt
Organism: Planococcus citri (citrus mealybug)
Lineage: Eukaryota; Metazoa; Arthropoda; Insecta; Hemiptera; Pseudococcidae
Exons: 2
Source: RefSeq, a predicted model, not a curated record